Long non-coding RNA from Dreissena polymorpha, 725 nucleotides. RefSeq lists it as uncharacterized. The record is from RefSeq and is a predicted model, not a curated record. The transcript is spliced from 3 exons. NCBI's taxonomy places the organism in Eukaryota, Metazoa, Mollusca, Bivalvia, Myida, Dreissenidae.
GAGGCUUGCCAUUGCUGUUCACUGCAUUCAAACACGGAAUUGUAUGAGAGAGGCUUGCUCACUUGUGUAGAUUUGGAAAACGGUUUAACAUAUAACUUCGUAAACCUAAAUAUGUCAAACGUGGAUACAUUCAAGUUUACUACUAAGGCAUGUUUAAGAGUUUUUAAACAAGCACUCGUUACAUUGUUGGUAGCAUCAUGUGGCGUCAAAACAGAGGGACAAACGCCAUUUAAGACGUUGGAAUUGCGACAUUGCCCUACAGACCUUAUUAGUGACGCAAUGUAUGUCGGAACGGACGUUACCAUUACCAAAUGUGUGGAAAUGUGCGCACUGCGACCCUGGUGUGUAGCAUUGAUAUACAGACGUCAGUAUCCUCUUUGUGAACUCUUCUCAAAAUCUGGUUUGAUAGUCCAUAACACAACAGAAACCGCAGGAUAUUGUCAGUAUGUGGAUGAAGACAACUUUUCCGCAAAGUUCGUCCAACUAAGACUCGAGUGCUCAACAUUGGCAAAUACGACAUGUCCCGAGCAGUAUGUCGCAUGCGACAUGGACAAUAAACAAUGUAUCAAACCCGAAUGCCCGCGCCUGAACGUCACCAAUGGGGUCUUAUUAGGCAACAUGAACAACAAUGGGGCACGUAAACAGGUCACCUGCAACCCUGAUUACAUCGUAGAAUCUGGAGCUAGUAUUACGACAUGCAUUGACGGAAACUGGAAUCCGUAUCC